Molecule: ribosomal RNA, 219 nt
Filed under: uncultured bacterium
Lineage: Bacteria
Description: partial 16S ribosomal RNA
Rfam family: Bacterial small subunit ribosomal RNA
Source: RNAcentral
AUAAUCAACCUCUUGCUCUGGAAUACCCCGGGGAAACUCGGAUCAAUGCCAGAUAAAGUGCGGUGCUGUCGGGCGCCGUACCAAAGAUAGCUUCGGCCUUCGGCGAGAGACGAGUCCGCGGCCCAUUAGCUAGUUGGCGGGGUAAUGGCCCACCAAGGCUACGAUGGGUAGCUGGUCUGAGAGGACGAUCAGCCACACUGGGACUGAGACACGGCCCAG